GUGCUCGCCUUGGCAGCACACAUACUAAAGUUGAAAAUGAUUCGCAUGGCUCUUGCUCAAGGAUGACACGCAAAUUUGUGAAGCAUUCCAUAAUUUG
Molecule: small nuclear RNA, 97 nt
Organism: Bison bison bison
Lineage: Eukaryota; Metazoa; Chordata; Mammalia; Artiodactyla; Bovidae
Source: Ensembl